Molecule: transfer RNA, 66 nt
Filed under: Ochthebius plesiotypus
Lineage: Eukaryota; Metazoa; Arthropoda; Insecta; Coleoptera; Hydraenidae
Description: tRNA-Asp
Source: RNAcentral
AAAAAAUUAGUUAAAUUAUAACGUUAGUUUGUCAAACUAAAAUUAUUAUAUCAUUAAUAUUUUUUG